RNAcentral lists this ribosomal RNA (492 nucleotides) under uncultured bacterium. RNAcentral's name for it is "partial 16S ribosomal RNA". It matches the Rfam family "Bacterial small subunit ribosomal RNA", at positions 29 to 507 of the family's 1533-position model. The record is from RNAcentral.
AGUGAACGCUGGCGGUAGGCCUAACACAUGCAAGUCGAACGGCAGCACAGUAAGAGCUUGCUCUUACGGGUGGCGAGUGGCGGACGGGUGAGGAAUACAUCGGAAUCUACUUUUUCGUGGGGGAUAACGUAGGGAAACUUACGCCAAUACCGCAUCCGACCUACGGGUGAAAGCAGGGGACCUUCGGACCUUGCGCGAUUGAAUGAGCCGCUGUCGGAUUAGCUAGUUGGCGGGUUAAAGGCCCACCAAGGCGACGAUCCGUAGCUGGUCUGAGAGGAUGAUCAGCCACACUGGAACUGAGACACGGUCCAGACUCCUACGGGAGGCAGCAGUGGGGAAUAUUGGACAAUGGGCGCAAGCCUGAUCCAGCCAUACCGCGUGGGUGAAGAAGGCCUUCGGGUUGUAAAGCCCUUUUGUUGGGAAAGAAAAGCAGCAGGUUAAUACCCCGCUGUUCUGACGGUACUCAAAGAAUAAGCACCGGCUAACUUCGUG